RNAcentral lists this ribosomal RNA (816 nucleotides) under Ophiocordyceps sinensis. RNAcentral describes it as "SSU rRNA". It matches the Rfam family "Eukaryotic small subunit ribosomal RNA", at positions 73 to 899 of the family's 1831-position model. The record is from RNAcentral. Lineage: Eukaryota; Fungi; Ascomycota; Sordariomycetes; Hypocreales; Ophiocordycipitaceae.
AUUAUACAGCGAAACUGCGAAUGGCUCAUUAUAUAAGUUAUCGUUUAUUUGAUAGUACCUUACUACUUGGAUAACCGUGGUAAUUCUAGAGCUAAUACAUGCUGAAAAUCCCGACUCCGGAAGGGAUGUAUUUAUUAGAUUCAAAGCCAACGCCCUCUGGGCUCACUGGUGAUUCAUGAUAACUCCUCGAAUCGCACGGCCUUGCGCCGGCGAUGGUUCAUUCAAAUUUCUUCCCUAUCAACUUUCGAUGUUUGGGUAGUGGCCAAACAUGGUUGCAACGGGUAACGGAGGGUUAGGGCUCGACCCCGGAGAAGGAGCCUGAGAAACGGCUACUACAUCCAAGGAAGGCAGCAGGCGCGCAAAUUACCCAAUCCCGACACGGGGAGGUAGUGACAAUAAAUACCGAUACAGGGCUCUUUUGGGUCCUGUAAUUGGAAUGAGUACAAUUUAAAUCCCUUAACGAGGAACAAUUGGAGGGCAAGUCUGGUGCCAGCAGCCGCGGUAAUUCCAGCUCCAAUAGCGUAUAUUAAAGUUGUUGUGGUUAAAAAGCUCGUAGUUGAACCUUGGGCCUGGCUGGCCGGUCCGCCUCACCGCGUGUACUGGUCCGGCCGGGCCUUUCCCUCUGUGGAACCCCAUGCCCUUCACUGGGCGUGGCGGGGAAACAGGACUUUUACUUUGAAAAAAUUAGAGUGCUCCAGGCAGGCCUAUGCUCGAAUACAUUAGCAUGGAAUAAUGAAAUAGGACGCGCGGUUCUAUUUUGUUGGUUUCUAGGACCGCCGUAAUGAUUAAUAGGGACAGUCGGGGGCAUCAGUAUUC